Molecule: ribosomal RNA, 173 nt
Filed under: Saccharina longissima
Lineage: Eukaryota; Phaeophyceae; Laminariales; Laminariaceae
Description: partial 18S ribosomal RNA
Rfam family: Eukaryotic small subunit ribosomal RNA
Source: RNAcentral
UUUGUACACACCGCCCGUCGCACCUACCGAUUGAAUGUUUCGGUGAAGAUUCCGGACUGUGGCUCGCGUGCUUCACGGCGCUCUUGCCGUGGGAAGUUAUCUAAACCUCAACAUUUAGAGGAAGGUGAAGUCGUAACAAGGUUUCCGUAGGUGAACCUGCGGAAGGAUCAUUA